RNAcentral lists this ribosomal RNA (428 nucleotides) under uncultured bacterium. Its description in RNAcentral is "partial 16S ribosomal RNA". It matches the Rfam family "Bacterial small subunit ribosomal RNA", at positions 354 to 796 of the family's 1533-position model. The record is from RNAcentral.
GUAGGGAAUAUUGCGCAAUGGACGAAAGUCUGACGCAGCGACGCCGCGUGAGUGAUGAAGGCCUUAGGGUCGUAAAGCUCUGUUGAAUGGGAAGAAAAAAAUGACGGUACCAUUCGAGGAAGGACCGGCUAACUUCGUGCCAGCAGCCGCGGUAAUACGAGGGGUCCUAGCGUUGUUCGGAAUCAUUGGGUGUAAAGGGUGUGUAGGUGGCCAUGUAAGUCAGGUGUGAAAGCCCCGGGCUCAACCCGGGAAGUGCACUUGAUACUGCGUGGCUUGAGUACCGAAGAGGGUAGUGGAAUUCCAGGUGUAGUGGUGAAAUACGUAGAUAUCUGGAGGAACACCGGUGGCGAAGGCGGCUACCUGGUCGAGUACUGACACUGAGACACGAAAGCAUGGGGAUCAAACAGGAUUAGAUACCCCAGUAGUCC